Molecule: ribosomal RNA, 252 nt
Filed under: uncultured bacterium
Lineage: Bacteria
Description: partial 16S ribosomal RNA
Rfam family: Bacterial small subunit ribosomal RNA
Source: RNAcentral
UACGUAGGGGGCAAGCGUUGUCCGGAUUUAUUGGGCGUAAAGAGCGUGUAGGCGGCUGGGUAGGUCCGUUGUGAAAACUCGAGCUCAACCUCGAGACGCCGAUGGAAACCCUCCAGCUAGAGUCCGGAAGAGGAGAGUGGAAUUCCUGGUGUAGCGGUGAAAUGCGCAGAUAUCAGGAAGAACACCCGUGGCUAAGGCGGCUCUCUAGUACGGUACUGACGCUGAGACGCGAAAAGCUGGGGAGCGAACAGG